UACGUAGGGGGCGAGCGUUGUCCGGAGUUACUGGGCGUAAAGCGCACGCAGGCGGUCUGCUAAGUUUGGAGUGACGGUUGGUGGCUUAACUGCCAAAGUGCUUCGAAAACUGACAGACUUGAGGGCUUCAGAGGGACACGGAAUUCCGGGUGGAGUGGUGAAAUGCGUAGAGAUCCGGAGGAACACCAAAGGCGAAGGCAGUGUCCUGGGGAGUACCUGACGCUCAGGUGCGAAAGCCAGGGGAGCGAACGGG
RNAcentral lists this ribosomal RNA (253 nucleotides) under uncultured bacterium. Its description in RNAcentral is "partial 16S ribosomal RNA". It matches the Rfam family "Bacterial small subunit ribosomal RNA", at positions 524 to 776 of the family's 1533-position model. The record is from RNAcentral.